Molecule: ribosomal RNA, 484 nt
Filed under: uncultured bacterium
Lineage: Bacteria
Description: partial 16S ribosomal RNA
Rfam family: Bacterial small subunit ribosomal RNA
Source: RNAcentral
AUUGAACGCUGGCGGCAGGCCUAACACAUGCAAGUCGAGCGGAUGAAGGGAGCUUGCUCCUGGAUUCAGCGGCGGACGGGUGAGUAAUGCCUAGGAAUCUGCCUGGUAGUGGGGGAUAACGUCCGGAAACGGGCGCUAAUACCGCAUACGUCCUGAGGGAGAAAGAGGGGGAUCUUCGGACCUCACGCUAUCAGAUGAGCCUAGGUCGGAUUAGCUAGUUGGUGGGGUAAAGGCCUACCAAGGCGACGAUCCGUAACUGGUCUGUGAGGAUGAUCAGUCACACUGGAACUGAGACACGGUCCAGACUCCUACGGGAGGCAGCAGUGGGGGAUAUUGGACAAUGGGCGAAAGCCUGAUCCAGCCAUGCCGCGUGUGUGAAGAAGGUCUUCGGAUUGUAAAGCACUUUAAGUUGGGAGGAAGGGCAGUAAGUUAAUACCUUGCUGUUUUGACGUUACCAACAGAAUAAGCACCGGCUAACUUCGUG